Molecule: ribosomal RNA, 254 nt
Filed under: uncultured bacterium
Lineage: Bacteria
Description: partial 16S ribosomal RNA
Rfam family: Bacterial small subunit ribosomal RNA
Source: RNAcentral
UACGAAGGGUGCAAGCGUUACUCGGAAUUACUGGGCGUAAAGCGUGCGUAGGUGGUUUGUUAAGUCUGAUGUGAAAGCCCUGGGCUCAACCUGGGAAUUGCAUUGGAUACUGGCAGGCUAGAGUGCGGUAGAGGAUGGCGGAAUUCCCGGUGUAGCAGUGAAAUGCGUAGAGAUCGGAAGGAACAUCUGUGGCGAAGGCGGCCAUCUGGACCAGCACUGACACUGAGGCACGAAAGCGUGGGGAGCCAAACAGG